RNAcentral lists this ribosomal RNA (1048 nucleotides) under uncultured eukaryote. RNAcentral's name for it is "SSU rRNA". It matches the Rfam family "Eukaryotic small subunit ribosomal RNA", at positions 583 to 1660 of the family's 1831-position model. The record is from RNAcentral.
UUCCAGCUCCAAUAGCGUAUAUUAAAGUUGUUGCAGUUAAAAAGCUCGUAGUUGAACCUCGGGCUCGGUUUGGAGGUCUCCCUAAUGGGUAGUACUUUUGAAGCGGGUCUUUCCUUCUGGCUAACCAGUGUGCUAUUAAUUUGGUGCGCUGGGGAACCAGGACUUUUACUUUGAAAAAAUUAGAGUGUUUAAAGCAGGCCUUCGCUUGAAUACAUUAGCAUGGAAUAAUAAAAUAGGACUUUGGUUUUAUUUUGUUGGUUUCUAAGACCGAAGUAAUGAUUAAUAGGGAUAGUUGGGGGCAUUUGUAUUUAGUCGUCAGAGGUGAAAUUCUUGGAUUGACUAAAGACAAACUUCUGCGAAAGCAUUUGCCAAGGAUGUUUUCAUUAAUCAAGAACGAAAGUUAGGGGAUCGAAGACGAUCAGAUACCGUCGUAGUCUUAACCAUAAACUAUGCCGACUAGGGAUCGGACGUUGUUCAAUAUAGACGCGUUCGGCACCUUAUGAGAAAUCAAAGUUUUUAGGUUCCGGGGGGAGUAUGGUCGCAAGGCUGAAACUUAAAGGAAUUGACGGAAGGGCACCACAAGGAGUGGAGCCUGCGGCUUAAUUUGACUCAACACGGGGAAACUCACCAGGUCCAGACAUAAUAAGGAUUGACAGAUUGAUAGCUCUUUCUUGAUUUUAUGGGUGGUGGUGCAUGGCCGUUCUUAGUUGGUGGAGUGAUUUGUCUGGUUAAUUCCGUUAACGAACGAGACCUUAACCUGCUAAAUAGUUGGGCCAACUCUGGUUGGUGAUCAACUUCUUAGAGGGACUAUAGACGUUUAGUCCAUGGAAGUUUGAGGCAAUAACAGGUCUGUGAUGCCCUUAGAUGUUCUGGGCCGCACGCGCGCUACACUGAUAAAGGCAACAAGUAAUUCACCUUGGCCGGAAGGUCUGGGUAAUCUUUUGAAACUUUAUCGUGCUGGGGAUAGUCCUUUGCAAUUAUUGGACUUUAACGAGGAAUUCCUAGUAAGCGUGAGUCAUCAGCUCGCGUUGAUUACGUCCCUGCCCUU